RNAcentral lists this unclassified non-coding RNA (330 nucleotides) under soil metagenome. RNAcentral's name for it is "partial contains 5.8S ribosomal RNA, internal transcribed spacer 2, and large subunit ribosomal RNA". The stretch from base 1 to 120 matches the Rfam family "5.8S ribosomal RNA", at positions 35 to 154 of the family's 154-position model. The record is from RNAcentral.
GAUGAAGAACGCAGCGAAAUGCGAUAACUAAUGUGAAUUGCAGAAUUCCGUGAAUCAUCGAAUCUUUGAACGCACAUUGCGCCCCCUGGUAUUCCGGGGGGCAUGCCUGUUCGAGCGUCAUUUCACCACUCAAGCCUCGCUUGGUAUUGGGCAACGCGGUCCGCCGCGUGCCUCAAAUCGACCGGCUGGGUCUUCUGUCCCCUAAGCGUUGUGGAAACUUUCGCUAAAGGGUGUUCGGGAGGCUACGCCGUAAAACAACCCCAUUUCUAAGGUUGACCUCGGAUCAGGUAGGGAUACCCGCUGAACUUAAGCAUAUCAAUAAGCGGAGGA